Cebus imitator (Panamanian white-faced capuchin) is the source of this 905-nucleotide long non-coding RNA. RefSeq lists it as uncharacterized. The record is from RefSeq and is a predicted model, not a curated record. NCBI's taxonomy places the organism in Eukaryota, Metazoa, Chordata, Mammalia, Primates, Cebidae. The transcript has 2 exons.
UGAGCCACCAUGACUGGCCUCAGUGAUAUUUUGUGCUCUUUAUGGUGGAGCUGUGGUCCCAGCCUAACUUGCAGAACUUCGGCUGUCUCCAGGGCACACUGUCCAUCUGCUUCCUUCAGAAGGAGCAGAGACAGUGCCAUGGAUGUAGUGAUGGGUGACAGGCUGGCUCCCCUUGAGACAUGAGUCUAGAAGAUUAGUGGAAGAAAUCCACUCUGCUUCCUUUGACAUGAGGCUACAAAGAGAACUUGCCUUUAACUCCUUUUCCUUAGAAGCUGAGAAGGUAGUUUGAGGUUGGGACUUGGUCUAGAAGCACACGGGGAGGUGGUCUAGGCUUCACAUAGCUGGGCCCACACUGAGUGGUGCUGACUCUACCCUGUUCUUUCUCCUUCAAAAAACAGUGGCCAGUGAGCCAGAAACCUGAGAUUGAGUUGUUGAGGAAAAGGCUCACAGCCUUUUUAAUACUUACAAGGCUAUUAUUACAACUAAGUUUUUGUUUACUCUGGUAUUUCUCUCCAGGAAAGAAGCCAUAAGUCUUAUCUGACCAAAGAGAUGAUUUUGAAACACCCAUUUAAUGUCUUAGCGUUUAUUUGUACCAGUUGCACUGAAGUAAAUACCACUAAUUUAUGUAAAUUUAUCUUUCCAUGCUUCUGUUAUCUCUCAGGAAAAAACAUCCUCCCAGGCCAGAUUUAAUGUUGUUACAGCAUUUUUAGGUUUGAAAAUGAAUUAAAUAUAUUUCUAGUAUUUUUAGUUAUUCAUUGCAGAUUAUAGUUUGACUUUUGGCCUUUGUCCGAGGACAAAGCCUGGAGAGAAGAGAUUCAAUGACCCUGAAUAUUAUUGUUUUAUUUUUAGAGCUCUUGAUAUGAAACUAUUGUUUAUCCCUUUGGGUACAUGAAAAAAAAAAAAAA